This 253-nucleotide unclassified non-coding RNA is filed under the name uncultured Alphaproteobacteria bacterium. Its description in RNAcentral is "contains 16S-23S intergenic spacer region". It matches the Rfam family "Bacterial small subunit ribosomal RNA", at positions 524 to 776 of the family's 1533-position model. Lineage: Bacteria; Pseudomonadati; Pseudomonadota; Alphaproteobacteria. The record is from RNAcentral.
UACGGAGGGGGCUAGCGUUGUUCGGAAUUACUGGGCGUAAAGCGCGCGUAGGCGGAUUAGUCAGUUGGGGGUGAAAGCCCGGAGCUCAACUCCGGAAUUGCCUUCAAUACUGCUAGUCUUGAGUCCGAGAGAGGGUGGUGGAAUUCCCAGUGUAGAGGUGAAAUUCGUAGAUAUUGGGAAGAACACCAGUGGCGAAGGCGGCCACCUGGCUCGGUACUGACGCUGAGGUGCGAAAGCGUGGGGAGCAAACAGG